UCCGGUUUGUCACCGGCAGUCUGGCGUGAGUCCCCAACUUAAUGCUGGCAACACGCCACGGGGGUUGCGCUCGUUGCGGGACUUAACCCAACAUCUCACGACACGAGCUGACGACGGCCAUGCAGCACCUGAACUAGGGGUCUCCGAAGAGAAGAUCUCAUCUCUGAGACUGUCCCCUGUUGUCUAGCCCAGGUAAGGUUCUUCGCGUUGCGUCGAAUUGAACCACAUGCUCCACCGCUUGUGCGGGCCCCCGUCAAUUCCUUUGAGUUUUAAUCUUGCGACCGUACUCCCCAGGCGGGGCACUUAAUGCGUUAGCUGCGGCACCCAAGGGGUCAAUACCUCGGACACCUAGUGCCCAUCGUUUACAGCGUGGACUAC
This 378-nucleotide unclassified non-coding RNA is filed under the name uncultured Myxococcales bacterium. RNAcentral describes it as "contains 16S-23S intergenic spacer region". Lineage: Bacteria; Pseudomonadati; Myxococcota; Myxococcia; Myxococcales. The record is from RNAcentral.